Molecule: small RNA, 25 nt
Filed under: Mus musculus (house mouse)
Lineage: Eukaryota; Metazoa; Chordata; Mammalia; Rodentia; Muridae
Description: oocyte_piRNA1682
Source: RNAcentral
UGGGAGAAUACCACAGCCCUGUCUC